RNAcentral lists this long non-coding RNA (9086 nucleotides) under Triticum aestivum (bread wheat). Its description in RNAcentral is "long non-coding RNA (TAES_LNC014697)". The record is from RNAcentral. Lineage: Eukaryota; Viridiplantae; Streptophyta; Magnoliopsida; Poales; Poaceae.
UGGAAACCUUGAUUUUGUUUUCCUCGAGUUUUCUUUGAUUUUGGUUUGAGUGCUUGUGUGUUUUCCUUUAGUUUGCUGAUAUGUCAUUAGUGAAAUACUUAUUUGUGCUAUUGUUUGACUCGAUAGAAUUUCCGGAGUGCGAAGCUUGCUAUCUCGAGUCACUAGCGUUUGAAGACCGUCAGCCAGGCAAGUUAUUUGAUCAUGUUUUACAAUACCUACGAUUUUGUUGCAUUAGAAUUUUUCCUCCCCGCCAUGCAUGCAGUAGGAGAAUUUUAAGUUAUGUUCUUGAGUAGUAUCAUGAGGUAGGAUGAACCCAGUUACCCUUGUUACCACUGCCCGGGACGAUGUAGUUUAUUUUGCUAUGCUCGUAGACGGGGUUGGUUGAGUGUUUCAUAAGGGAGAUGUGAGAGUCAAGAUGAUGACAACCCCAUGACUUCAAGCUCAAGAUGGACUUCAAAUUCACUACUGGGUGGAGGACGGUUGACGGGCACCCUGGAGAAACCAGCGGAUGGCCCGGAUGCAUGGAGAAGCGCCAUGACCUUGCGGAAAGCUUCACCCAGCCACGAAGAGACGGAUGGAUACCCCUUUGAUCGGAAGCUUACCUGUGCAGCCGCAAGCCAUUAUGGGCUCUGGCUGGGUUAACCCUAGGCGUGACUCUGGACGAACGGUGCCAGCAGAUGUAGAAGAACGGUAGGACAUGGAUGGGUACCGGCAGUUCUCAGAGAAACUCUAGGGAAGACCCUGUUUCGUUCAUCCCGUCUUCAAACACCAGGCAGUGCGAGGACAUAAAGGAGGGAACGAUUCUUGCGGGCAAAGUGCACAAGACUCUGCAGAGUAACAACCUAAUCGAUUAGCCGUGUCCCCGGUUAUGGACGAAUGAGCCUCUGGAAACUGGAGUAUUUCGGAAAUCUCAACACCGAACUAAUAAAUUAAUUGAGGGGUUAUUUAAUAAUUGGGAAUGAGACAUUGGUUGGCGGAACCAUCUCAAUAACAACCAACACUUUGUAGUAAUUGCAAGCAAGUCCUUUGUUAUAGGGAAAAUUGGCUUUUUUGCAAAAACAUAAAACUUAGAGCCCCACGGCUAAAUUGCAUAUAGUUUUAGAAAUUUUAUUGUUGUUCUCUCUAUGACUGGCCAGCAUAUUCAAAAUGCUGACCUACACGGCUGCAACGUCUCAGGUUGCAGAGGAGUUUUCCGACUAGGAGUGAGGCUACGAUCUACGCUUGGUGAUUGCCCGAUGGAGUCGGAUGGACUCGCUACUCGUCUACGCUUCCAUAGCUUUAUUUAGUUUAUUUCUCAUGAGUUGACCUUCGGCCGAAUUUAUUCUAUUCUAAUAAAGGCUCAAUAUGAGAAUCGUGUAAUAAAUUCAGGUCUGAUUGAACUUUGAAUCUUUUCAUCAAUGUACUGUGUGUGCCAGCAUGAUCUUGGGAUGGUACAGCUACACAGAGACUUGACCGAUUUUGGGUCGGGUCGCUACAGAGAUGGUAUUCAGAGCACACGCUGACCGUAGGACGUAACCCCUAGGAUCGGAAAGCCAUAGGAAGAGACUAUUUUAUUUUAUAUCCUUAUCAUUCUGUAAUUCUCCCCUGUUCAUUUCUGACUUCUCUCCGAUUUCAACAUUCUAGAUGGCCGUCAAGUUCAUCCCAGUUCUGCUCUCGGUGUUUUGCCAGCCAGAUGAGACAAUGCUUUUCGGCAGGAGGCUGGUCCAGAUCACCAAGGAAUUGAAUAUUGCUUUGUCGUCUAUCACCAGGACCCCUAUCAUGGCAUUUCCAGAAGACCAUCAUUAUAGGAUUAAGGUGCACAUACCAGGGAGAACUUUUGGAAGCCUCUCGGUGCCCAUUGACUUCAAGUUCACUGCUCCCACUUGGAUACUCAGGAGAAACAUAGCAGUUCAUAGUGCACUUGGACACAUCCAGGAGGAAUACAGGACCGAGCUUGUUGGAUCAGACCACACCAUGAUUUCUCGCAGGACUGCAGAUGGAGAGAUUAUCCGCACCAUAGAUGACGACUCUGUCCGCUCAUAUGUCCAAGACUUGGAGGCUCACAUCAGGACUCUAGAGAUUUAGAUGCGCAGGAGCUUGAAGACGGUCCAAAAGUUGCAUCUUCGUGAGAUUGAACUAGAGGAUGCAGCACGUUAGCCCACUAUGAUCAUGAGGAUGAAGUCAUGGAUUUUAUGGAAAGACUCGAGGACCGGAAGAAAUAUAUUGCCACACUUGAGGAGAAGACGGAUCUGGGAGAAGACCUUUUCCCGAGUGGAGAUGAUGGACCUCUCGUGAGCAAUGACCAGGAUUAUGAAGAGAGCUCCACCGAAGGAAGCCGCAAGAGGAGCGUCGCACCAGAGGACGACGCACCAGAGGACGCAGGGAUAAUUGAUGAAGACAUUUAGUCGACCGCCAUGUUAUUUUUAUUUUUAUUUUCGUCGAUCAGCCGUUAUUUUCGAUUAGUCGUGAGAUCUUGUAAUUCGAGUUUGAACCUUGCUUGAGUUGAAUGAAUAAAUGAUUGGUGUGACUGUGUUUGUGCAUUCAUUUGGGUAGUGCUAUUUUCUCAUUAGACCCUUGUUCUAUUCUAAUUUCUCAUCCACUCCAUAACACCAGAUGCCUCCGAGACGUGACCCCAGUUUCACUUUCCCGCCAGAGCUCACCCAGCUGAUUCAACAGCAGAAUGCCUUAAUGCAAAUGUUCAUCCAAAACCAAGGCAACAACAACAACAAUCCACCGCCACCACCCCCUGUCGAUAACCUGACCCGAUUCCUAAGGCUGAAUCCGCCGGUGUUCUCUAGUAGCACCGAGCCGAUGGUAGCUGAUGAUUGGCUCCGCAAGAUCGGAAGGGAUCUAACAACUGUUGGAUGCACAGAUGUUGAAAAGGUUCAUUUUGCCGCACAUCAACUGAAUGGACCUGCAGCCUCUUGGUGGGAAAAUUACACCGCCACUUAUCCGGUCGCCACCAUGACAUGGGAUCAGUUCCAGCGGGCUUUCCGGACCGCGCAUGUCUUAGCUGGAGCCAUGAGUCUGAAGAAGCGUGAGUUCCGCAACUUACGCCAGGGGAACCGUACUGUGGGGCAUUAUGUGGAUGAGUUCAACAAGUUAUCUCGAUAUGCCCCAGAUGACGUGGCCACUGAUGCCACAAAACAGGAGAAGUUUCUUGAGGGACUCAAUGAUGAGCUGGGGAUGCAGCUAAUGGUGGCUACCUUCAAUAACUACCAGGAGCUGGUAGACAAGGCCACUAUACUAGAAGGCAAGCAGCAGCAGAUUGAAAGCCGCAAGCGAAAAUAUAGCCAAGGAAAGUACAACUCCGGAGCUCAGCAGAAGCCCUGCUAUGCCCCAUACUCGGGAGGACAUACCCAUCACAACCAUGGAGGACACAAUCAUGGAGGACAUAACCAUGGAGGGAAUGGGAACAAUCGCAACCACGACAACAACCCCAAGUCAGGCAAUGGAGGCAACGGCAACCAGCACCGUCCUGCUCCGACUCAGAAGGAUCUGAGUCAUAUCACCUAUUUCAAGUGCCAGAAGAUAGGGCACUACGCCACCGAUUGUCCAGAGGCCAAGCAGAGGAAUGGGAACGGCAACGGCAACGGAAGCUCAGCAAAGAAGCCCAACCCUUUUCAUCGUGCUUAGGUGAAUCACAUUGACAUGGAGGACGUCUAUGAUCAGCCAGAAACUGUGGUUGGUAAGUUUUUAUUAAAUUCACGUCCAGUAUUGGUACUCUUUCAUUCCGGUGCAACACAUUCAUUCAUAUCAAGGGUAGUUGUGGAAAAAUACGGGUUGCCCACUAGGACCCUUAAAACCCCGAUCCAAGUCACUUCUCCAGGAGGAGAGAUGAUGGCAGGCUUAGGCUAUCAUUCAACCCUUAGCAUCGGAAAUCAUGAUUUCCCCCUAGACCUCAUAGUCUUAGAAUCCCAGGGAUUGGACGUGAUCCUAGGCAUGGACUGGUUGACGAGGUUUGAAGGGAACAUCGACUAUGCUCGCAAGACGAUUUUGCUCACCACCCCGGAACAGAAGAGGAUCAAGUAUGUAUCCAGACGCACAUGGAUAAAGAAACAGGUGAAUUCCCUCACGGGAGUGGUUCAGGAGGAAGUACCUGUAGUACAAGAUUUUCCGGAUGUAUUCCCGGAGGAAUUACCAGGAAUGCCACUGGAUAGAGAAAUAGAAUUUUUGAUCGAGUUAUUACCUGGCACAGCCCCAAUAUCCAAGAGAUCUUAUCGGAUGCCCCCGAAUGAUUCAGAAGAGAUAAAGCGGCAGAUCAAGGAAUUAUUGGAUAAAGGAUAUAUUCGCCCAAGUUCGUCACCUUGGGGAGCCCCAGUUCUUUUGGUAGAGAAGAAGGAUGGAACCCUGAGAAUGGUUGUAGAUUAUCGUUCAUUGAACAACGUGACCAUCAAGAAUAAGUACCCUCUACCGAUGAUUAAUGAUUUAUUUGAUCAGCUAGUCAGAGCCAAAGUAUUUUCCAAGAUCGAUCUUCGAUCAGGGUAUCAUCAGCUGAAGAUUCGUGAAUAGGAUAUACCCAAAACAGCCUUCACCACCAGGUAUGUUUUAUAUGAGUAUACCAUCAUGUCAUUCGGAUUGACUAAUGCCCCUGCGUAUUUCAUGAGCAUGAUGAACAAGGUAUUUAUGGAAUAUCUGGACAAGUUUGUCGUGGUGUUCAUCGAUGAUAUCUUGGUUUUCUCCAAGAGCGAGGAAGAACACAAGGAACAUCUGCGUCUAGUCCUGGAGAAACUCCGAGAAUAUCAGUUAUAUGCCAAGUUCAGCAAAUGUGAAUUUUGGUUGAAGGAAGUCGGAUUCCUCGGACAUGUUAUUUCAGGAGAAGGAAUAGCAGUCGACCCCACCAAGGUUGAAUUGGUCACCAACUGGCAAUCCCCCACCUUAGUCAAGGAGAUCCGCAGUUUCCUCGGCCUUGCAGGAUAUUAUCGGAGAUUUAUUGAGAAUUUCUCCAAGAUUGCUAAACCCAUGACCGAGCUAUUGAAAAAGGAAACAAAGUACAUUUGGACCGAGGAUUGUGAAGCCAGUUUUCAGGAGUUGAAGAAACGUCUGGUUACAGCCCCAGUACUCAUUUUGCCGGACAUACACAAGGAUUAUCAGGUGUAUUGUGACGCUUCUCGUCAAGGACUCGGAGGAGUGCUCGUGCAGGAAGGAAAAGUUGUAGCUUAUACCUCUAGACAGCUACGACCUCACUAGAUGAAUUACGCCACACACGAUUUGGAGUUAGCAGCCGUAGUGCACGCACUCAAGACCUGGAGACAUUUCCUUGUCGGAAAUAGUUGUGAUGUUUACACGGAUCAUAAGAGCCUGAAGUAUAUCUUCACGCAGAAGGAAUUAAACCUCAGGCAGAGGAGAUGGCUUGAAUUGAUCAAGGACUAUGACAUGAGAUUGCAUUAUCACCCAGGGAAGGCAAAUGUUGUAGCAGAUGCCUUGAGCCGCAAAAGUUAUGUGAACACCCACAUAGCUGGAGGAUUAACUCAGAAUUUAGCCGACGAUCUCAGAGAUCUCCGAUUGGAAAUAGUACCAAGAGGAUUUGUCGCCACCCUGGAUAUUCAGUCCACUUUGACUGAAAGAAUUCGUGAAGCCCAGAAGACGAACAAGGAAAUUGCAGAGAUAAAGGAAAAGAUGAGUAACGGAAAGACUAAAGGUUUCUGUGAGGGUGAACACGGAACUUUAUGGUUUGAGGAUCGCAUCUAUGUGCCCAAUGACCCAGAGGUCAGGAAGUUGAUUAUUCAGGAGGCCCAUGAUUCACCGUACUCGAUUCACCCAGGCAACACCAAGAUGUAUAUGGAUUUGAAGGAAAGUUUCUGGUGGACAGGUAUGAAGAAGGAUAUUGCCAAGUAUGUAGCAGUAUGCGAUGUUUGUCAGCGAGUAAAGGCUGAGCAUCAGAAGCCGGCAGGGUUACUUCAACGACUGCCGAUUCCCGAGUGGAAAUGGGAAAAACUUGGAAUGGAUUUUAUCACAGGAUUACCCAGGACCCGUUCAGGCUAUGAUUCUAUCUGGGUAGUGGUUGAUCGCUUGACCAAGGUAGCUCAUUUCAUUCCCGUGAAGACUACAUAUACCAGCGCUAAGUUAGCCAAGAUAUACAUGACCAGGAUCGUAUGUCUGCAUGGAGUUCCAGGAGUAUCGUGUCAGAUAGAGGAACGCAAUUUACCUCAAAGUUUUGGAAUCAGUUGCAUGAAACUUUGGGUACGAGGCUGGAGUUCAGUACAGCUUUUCAUCCGCAGACAGAUGGACAGACCGAGAGAGUCAACCAGAUUCUGGAGGACAUGUUGAGAGCCUGUCCACUAGACUAUGGGUCUAGCUGGGAUGACAAUCUGCCAUACGCAGAGUUCUCGUACAACAACGGCUAUCAGACCAGUUUGAAGAUGGACCCUUUUGAAGCUCUAUACGGAAGGAGGUGCAGAACACCACUGCUGUGGGAUGGUGUUGGAGACCGAAAGCUUUUUGGUCCUGAUCUUAUCAGAGACUCCGAAGAGAAGGUCAAACUGAUUCGAGAUAGACUCAAGAUAGCCUAGUCGAGACAGAAGAGUUAUGCCGACAGUAAACGCAAGGAGGUAACGUAUGAAGUUGGAGACCGAGCCUAUCUCCGUGUGUCCCCACUUCGUGGAAUCAAGAGAUUUGGUGUUAAAGGAAAGUUAGCACCCAGGUUCAUUGGCCCCUACAAAAUCCUCCAACGCAGAGGAGAAGUUGCAUACAAGCUGGAAUUGCCGGAAGGAUUGUCUGGAGUUCAUGAUAUCUUCCAUGUUUCCCAGCUGAAGAAAUGGCAUGCUGAGAUGGCCGAUAUUCCUUUAAGAGACACCGUACCCCUAGAGACAAUAUAGCUCGACAGUGAUCUAACUUAUGAGGAGAAACCCGUCAGGAUUCUCGAGACUGCGAACAGAGUUACCCGCAGCAAGAUCAUCAAGUUUUGCAAGGUUCUGUGGAGUCAUCAUUCAGAGGAGGAAGCCACCUGGGAGCGAGAAGAAGAUCUCCGCCGAGACCACCCGCACCUAUUUGCUAGCCAACCCGAAUCUCGAGGGCGAGAUUCAUCUUAAGGUGGGUAGGUUUGUAACAUCCCAAAUUUUCAAUUUGGAAUGUUUUACAAUUUUAGUUAAGCAUCUAUGCAUUUUGUUUGAAUUGAGUGGCAUUUGGAAAUUUUCAGAGACUUUUGAAUUUUUGUUGAAUUUUGGAUUCAACUUGGCAUUUAAAAAUCUACCUCAAUAUCCCUGACAAAUACUUGAGAAAAGUAUGAGAGGAGCUAACAUGACACUCCAAAAAAAUGUCAGAAGAAAAUAUUGCCAAAAGGUUUGAAUCCAAAUUUGAAUUUUAUUUUGGAGUUUGUAGAAAAUGUUUUUUUAGUUUCUGUUUUGCCUCUAUAGAAAUGUCCACGCUAUAGGAUUAAUUCCCCUAAGAAUUUUGAUAUAUAUAUGUCCUAUAUAAAAAUAUUAUAUGUUUACCUAUAAUUAGUUUUCUCUCUCUGUGGUAUUUCAAAAAAACAAAAAAAAGGUCCAAGGCGCCAGCCAGGCCAACUAGCCCAGCAGCGCUGAGCCGCAGCCCACCAGCAACCGAGCCGGCCUACCCCAGCGCGGCGCACACCCGAACCCCUCUCCCCUCGGUCGCCCGCUCGCUCUCCUCUCUCCCUCCCUCACCGACGCGCCGGCCCCACCCCUUCUCCUUCCCCUCGCACAUGACACGCCACACCGGAGCACGCGCAGAGCGCGCCCGACACCGCGAGCUUCUCGGGAUCACGAUCUCGCGUCGCCCCCUCGCCCAAGUCCAUGCCCAAUAUACACCCCUCGCUCCCCUUCCCCGAUCCCCCUAAAACCCUAGCCCAAAACCCACCACAGCUCGCGCCCUCGCCAAACGCAUCUCGCUGCUGCCGCCGCUGUUCGCCACCCGUUCCGACUCCGGUGAGCACUCCCUCGAUCCCAAUUUCCACCCACGUACUUCCGUCGCCGUUGCCCACUUUUUUGACAUGUUCUGCGGCCCUCUUAUUCACAGCAGAGACGACCCCGAGCUCGUCCGCCACCCGCCGGAGCUGCAGAGCACUGGGCUCGGUUUCGCCUCGCACCCGACAUCUGCGCCGUCCCCGAGCUCCAACUACUCCACCACCGCCUCCGCCUUGCUCCGCCGCACCCACCCGGCGAUUCCGCCGCCGCCCCAGACCACCGGAGCACCCCCCGCCACCGUCGCCCGAGCCGCCGUCGUCCCUCGUCGCUGCUGUAAGUCACCGGACCCCCUCCACCGUUCGAUCUGCAAGGCACGGUUUAGAUUAGAGUAGCGAAGGGUUAGGUUAUUUUUAUUAGACCGGUUUUAGUUCACGGUUUGUCUCCGGUUUAUUUCCUAUAGUUGCUGUAGAAAUUAGAUUUGGCCAUGUUUAGGUUUUUAAAAAAUUGUUUUAUAUUAGUUUUAGUCAGAUUAGUUUUUCUGCUAUAAAUUGAGUUAGGAUUAGUUUUUUUUAGUGAUUCUUUUUGUCACUGCUUUGUUUUGACUUUGUCUAGCAGUAGGCAUUUAUUUGGGCAUUUUGACUCUUUAUUAAAAAUAGUUUUUGUGCGAAAACAAGCUUUUCUAGUUUAUUUAGCUUGCUGUUAUUUUUUGUUGUUCUAGUUAUUUUUAAAUUUAAUUUUCCUAUGUUAUAAUUUAUUUUAGAUUAGUUUCUGUAGUUACAGAGAGUGAACAUUUAUUUACAGCAAAAUAAAAAGUUUUAUUUUAAGUUCUUAAUAGUUUUGUUUUAGGUAUAACAGCAAUUCUAUAAUAGAUAUUGGUUUGAAUCUUUUUGCACCUAGUUUGCAUGCUGUUUUCCUCUAUGUUAGUUAGUAAAACCAUUGUUUUGGAUCUGUAAAGAAAAGUGUUAGUAGGUUAAAACUAUUUCCUUGUUGUUGCUUGAUGUGAUGGAAACCUUGAUUUUGUUUUCCUCAAGUUUUCUUUGAUUUUGGUUUGAGUGCUUGUGUGUUUUCCUUUAGUUUGCUGAUAUGUCAUUAGUGAAAUACUUAUUUGUGCUAUUGUUUGACUCGAUAGAAUUUCCGGAGUGCGAAGCUUGCUAUCUCGAGUCACUAGCGUUUGAAGACCGUCAGCCAGGCAAGUUAUUUGAUCAUGUUUUACAAUACCUAUGAUUUUGUUGCGUUAGAAUU